Molecule: transfer RNA, 75 nt
Filed under: Bacteroidota bacterium
Lineage: Bacteria; Pseudomonadati; Bacteroidota
Description: Bacteroidetes bacterium (marine metagenome) tRNA-OTHER
Rfam family: tRNA
About the family: Transfer RNA (tRNA) molecules are approximately 80 nucleotides in length.
Source: RNAcentral
UCCCCGUUCGUCUAAUGGUAGGACAUCCGCCCUUACAGUCGGGAAAUCCAGGUCCGAAUCCUGGCCGGGGAACCA